Molecule: transfer RNA, 72 nt
Filed under: Ictidomys tridecemlineatus (thirteen-lined ground squirrel)
Lineage: Eukaryota; Metazoa; Chordata; Mammalia; Rodentia; Sciuridae
Description: Spermophilus tridecemlineatus (thirteen-lined ground squirrel) tRNA
Rfam family: tRNA
About the family: Transfer RNA (tRNA) molecules are approximately 80 nucleotides in length.
Source: Rfam by way of RNAcentral
UGGGUUGUGGCUUAGUGGUAAAGCACUUGCUUAGUAUGUGUGAGGCACUGGGUUCAAUUCUCAGCACUGCAU